CUGCUGAUUGUGUCAUUUCUUAACGUAAAUAGUAAACACGUGUUUUUUUGUUGACGAAAAUAUUUCUGUUCCUUUGAUUUAAUAUUAAUCUAAUUUCCAUUUAGACAUCCGUACACUUUGUUACGGUAAACCUACAAGAGCAUGUUUCAUACCAUCAGAAAAGUCAAGAAAUACAGAAAACUUUUGUUGACUGAAGGUGUAAGAAAACGAAAGAAGAGACGAGGAACAAUAACUAAAAGAGAUUUUGUUGCCUGUGCAGAUCCACAAUUUCUUAGUAAAUCACAAAUUAGAAAUAGAAAAAUAAAUAGAAGUGUUAAUGUUUCUGGUAAAAGAAGAAGAAGGAUAAUGAAGUUACUAGGAAGACAGGCUAUAGUUAAAACAUCAAAUACAGAACCAAUGGUUACAACCCAAACAAAGAGUCAGAAAAAGUCUAAGAAGAAAAAUAAAAUUGUACCAGUAGAUUUAUCAACACCAGAAGAUAGUGAAGAAGAUGUUGAGAUGGAUGAUGAAGAAGAAGAAGAAGAUGAGGAUGCUGGAGUUAUUGAUGAAGUUAAAGCUGUAUAAAUUAUAUCUCUAUACAAUAAAAUAUAUUGAUUUUCUUU
Patella vulgata (common limpet) is the source of this 602-nucleotide long non-coding RNA. RefSeq lists it as uncharacterized. Lineage: Eukaryota; Metazoa; Mollusca; Gastropoda; Patellidae. The transcript is spliced from 5 exons. The record is from RefSeq and is a predicted model, not a curated record.